This 192-nucleotide ribosomal RNA is filed under the name Triticum aestivum (bread wheat). RNAcentral describes it as "partial small subunit ribosomal RNA". The record is from RNAcentral. Lineage: Eukaryota; Viridiplantae; Streptophyta; Magnoliopsida; Poales; Poaceae.
AUGACAAGUUUUAUAAAUAUAAUCAUCACUACUUUUUAUAGCAUAAGUUUAUCAAUCCGUGGGAGGCAUAGGAUGAAGAUGGUCUCUCUCAAGCAACCCUGCAACCAAAUAACGAAGAGUCUCUUGUGUCCCCAACACACCCAAUACAAUGGUAAAUGUUAUAGGUGCACUAGUUCGGCGAAGAGAUGGUGA